GAACCGAGAUAAGUGUUAGUGAGGUUACAAGGCUCAAGAUAAUGUACAAUAUUCUUAACGCAGCCUUUUUAGUCUGAACAAGCACUAGUCCCUGUCAUUAUAUUGUCAAGUGUACGCACAAUGAUUCUGAAGUUAACUGUCUUCGUGGCCUUGGCAUGUGUGACCCUGGCAGCACCAGUACGAGACCAAGAAGACCAACUGCCGAUUCCGCUCAAGUUUAACCCUAUCUGGGCUUCCCUUGCUGCUCUCUUGGAGAACUUCACACCGCUGCCUACAUUGGUUGUUCCUGACAAACAGUUGCUGGGAAAUACGGGAACUGGGCCCAUAGUGUAGACAUGCUCUCACAGUGGGGAUGAUUUAUACUGGAAACACUGCAAUAGUGCAAGUGACUGAAGGACCAGCGUUGCGGCUACUCAUUUAAAGGCUCCAGUACAGGCAGGAAUUCUACAAUUAAAUAAUUCCUAAUCAUCAA
Long non-coding RNA from Haliotis rufescens (red abalone), 472 nucleotides. RefSeq lists it as uncharacterized. NCBI's taxonomy places the organism in Eukaryota, Metazoa, Mollusca, Gastropoda, Lepetellida, Haliotidae. The transcript has 3 exons. The record is from RefSeq and is a predicted model, not a curated record.